AUACCAUCAAACACAGACCAUUUUGUUUUGUUCUGUGUCUUGGACCUUUGAAGGGCUUUGCUGAUUGUUAAAAGUCAGCUCCUUUUAAAUGCAUUAGCAGAAUGUGAACUCACAUUAAGCCGGCCUCGGUUUGAUAGACAUUAGAUUAUCUAUGCUGUCGCUGGUUGGGGUUUGACUGCUUCCAAUUGUCCCUUUGGACUUGCCCUACCACAGGCAAUAACACAUUAAGC
RNAcentral lists this unclassified non-coding RNA (230 nucleotides) under Clavaria rosea. Its description in RNAcentral is "partial internal transcribed spacer 2". Lineage: Eukaryota; Fungi; Basidiomycota; Agaricomycetes; Agaricales; Clavariaceae. The record is from RNAcentral.